Molecule: long non-coding RNA, 96 nt
Organism: Haliotis rubra (blacklip abalone)
Lineage: Eukaryota; Metazoa; Mollusca; Gastropoda; Lepetellida; Haliotidae
Exons: 3
Source: RefSeq, a predicted model, not a curated record
UCCAAGGCUGUACUGAAUGCUGAGCCCAUGGAUGUAUAGUAAUUCUAUCAUCCGGAGAGGCAAAUCUAGAUAAGUGGAGAUAAAAUAACUCCAAAG